This 485-nucleotide ribosomal RNA is filed under the name uncultured bacterium. Its description in RNAcentral is "partial 16S ribosomal RNA". It matches the Rfam family "Bacterial small subunit ribosomal RNA", at positions 28 to 523 of the family's 1533-position model. The record is from RNAcentral.
GACGAACGCUGGCUGCGUGCUUAACACAUGCAAGUCGAACGCUGAAGCCAGAAGCUUGCUUCUGGUGGAUGAGUGGCGAACGGGUGAGUAACACGUGAGUAACCUGCCCCUGAUUUCGGGAUAAGCCUGGGAAACCGGGUCUAAUACCGGAUACGACCACCUGACGCAUGUCGGGUGGUGGAAAGUUUUUCGAUCGGGGAUGGGCUCGCGGCCUAUCAGCUUGUUGGUGGGGUAAUGGCCUACCAAGGCGACGACGGGUAGCCGGCCUGGGAGGGCGACCGGCCACACUGGGACUGAGACACGGCCCAGACUCCUACGGGAGGCAGCAGUGGGGAAUAUUGCACAAUGGGGGAAACCCUGAUGCAGCGACGCAGCGUGCGGGAUGACGGCCUUCGGGUUGUAAACCGCUUUCAGCAGGGAAGAAGCGAAAGUGACGGUACCUGCAGAAGAAGUACCGGCUAACUACGUGCCAGCCGCCGCAGUAA